Molecule: long non-coding RNA, 519 nt
Filed under: Numida meleagris (helmeted guineafowl)
Lineage: Eukaryota; Metazoa; Chordata; Aves; Galliformes; Numididae
Description: lncRNA (ENSNMEG00000005857.1)
Source: RNAcentral
GACACUUUGGUAUGAGCAAGGAAUUGGGCCGGACCAGAUGACCUCCUGUGAUCCCUUCCAACCCCAACCAGCCCGUGAUGGUGACAACCCUGCGUGAGAUGCGAAACUUCAGCGGUGGCACUGGGGAAGUUACGGCAACAAUUGUAUUUCUGCCUGAAGGAGACGCUGUGCCCCGGGGAGCACCAUGAAGCAGCAGGAUGUUACAGUGGGCAGCCUUUGGGUGUUGUGCGAGGGCUAUUUCCAGAGACCUGAAAGAACUUCCUGACAACACAGGAACCACUUUAUCUCGGUGAUCCUCCUGCACCGGCAGCUCACCGCAGCAGUAAGCCCCUGCACAAACCCACAGGGCCUCGGUUUGCAUAAGGCUCUUUUCUCUGCGAAAUCCGGGAUGUUCUCAGCCAGGGCAUCGCUGUGCCCCACGAAGCACUGCUGCUGAAGGGUUAUCUCUAACACUGACAGCAGAAUGUGGUCUCCAAUGGCACUUCUCCCCGAUGGAUGAUGCACACAGCGAUGGCACCC